CUGGGUGAGGGGGAUAAACGUCCAAAUCUGCCGCAUCUGGCCCAUAGUUUGAAGACCCUUGGACUAAACUCUACCUCUUGGGGAGAGGGGGCUGCCUCACUAAGGAAUUCUAUUUGACAAUGAAACCCCAGGUCCGCCUCCUAUUUCCCAGUACUUCUUGUCUCCCCGGCAAGCUCCUUGAAGACAGGGGCUGCUCCAUCUUGUCUUUGUAUCCCUGGUCCUCAGCACAGUGACUAACACCUAAAAGGUCAAAAAAUAUUUGCAAUAAAUUGGGCUGAGUUGUACUUCCAUUCACUCACUGGCAAUUUCUAGGGUUGUUAAUAGAAUUUCUUGGAGUAGUUAAGAGAUUAGACCUCCUGACUCCCUGAAGGCACUAAAUCUCAGACUUUGGGGCUCCAGAUAUUGCCCUCUGUCCAUUCUUAGGGUGACUUCUCACACAGAGUACUUACCGUGCAAGUCAAUUCUGGACUUGUUGGCUUAAUGGGGAAAUUCUAGCAUGUUGUUCCAAAACUAGCUUGGGAAAGCAUCUAUUAAGCUCUUACUGUGUACCUGGCACAUAGAAACUAAGGCCAUCGUCAAUAACUUAUAGUUUAGAGAGGAGUCUAGGGUACUGGGAAAUUAGGUGAUUUUGUCCAGAGAUACACAGUCAGGAUGCUUUAGAAGUAAGAACCAACUCAGGUCAGAUUCAGAGGUCAGUUUUUAAGCCAUUAAGGCACAUUUACAUAAUACCUGCAGAUUAUGGAUUUAUAAUUGAAUGGGAGCUUAGGGACUCUCUAGUCCAACCCUGUGUUACUGAUGAGGGACUUGUGAUUUCUAUGCCAUAGAACUCCCCAGUUAAAUGACCACCUCCAGGUACCUUCUUUGCAGUUUAUAUAUUGUUUUGAUAAAGAAACUGAGACUCACAGAGACUUGUUUAAAGCUGUGGAGACAGUUAAAAAACAGACUUUUUAUUCAAAUCCGGUCCUUCUGAUUCCAAAUCCAGACUUGUUUAGUUUACUGACUUCUAUUUCUAAAAAACAUUUCCCUAGGGUUUAUAGAAUUUUCUCAUAUUGCAGGUAUUACUGAUCAUAUUAAUGAUAAAAUCAUCUGGUAAAUUACUUACCCAAGAUCAUAUCCUAAUAAGUAUUUAGGACAGGAUUCGGACUCAGAUUUUCCUGAUUUGAAAGUUGACACUUAACCAUGCUGUCUCUCUCUAUUGCUUGUUUUGGGAGUCAAUGGGAUAGCUAUAUGAGUCUUGAGCUUUCCCUCAGCAACUGGGGAACCACCUCCUUGUCCCUCAGCCGUGGCUUUUUUAUGUCUUAGUAUGCUCUUGUCAAUCCAGAAACUCCCAGACAUGAAGCAAUCACCUUGAUCUUCCAGGGAGGAAAAGGGUUCAUUCUGGUCCCAGCAUGAGUAAGACAUUGUGAGCCUCCUUUCUAGCUGAAGUGGAGUCUUGUCUCACAUGAAUUUCAGCUUCAUGUCAGUGUGGCUUUUCCCCCUUCCCCUCCAACAUUUACUAAUAAUAGAAAAACAAGAAAUUUAAAAAAGUUUUCUUUCCUUUUUUUUCCUUCACUAAAUUUUACCCAGUGAAUUGUUAUGUGUAAGGGAGACAGACCCUCAAGAGUCAUGAGUAGGUAUAAGCAAACUGUACCAUCUGGCACAUGAGACAUGGCCCAAAAAGCAGUAUUGAGGAUGUACAUGACCAGAAAGGGAGGGAUUGAAUUUUUAAUUGAGCCUUUUGAUCGAAUUAGGCUGCUAAGGGGUCUAGCACCUGCUAUCUACAGAGUUAAGCUACAGUAGGUACCCUGAGAGAGAGACAGGAGGCAGGGAGAUCAAACCAUCAUUGAGCUUGAUAACCAUCUCCCCUCAAAUGGUAAUGGAGAGAGCCUGGGUAAUAGAAAUCCUUCCAGCUCAGUCCCCGAAGCCAUAGGGCACAUUGUGGAUGUACUUCACCCCCAACUACUGAAGAGUCAGCAAAGAAAGUUCUUGCCACCAAAAUCUUGGCCGUCUCAAAUGGUUUAACACCACAAGUGGAUGAGAUUUUAGCAGCAGAAAAGUGUUUAAAAGAAGAGGCCUUACCAUCCCAAGGAGAUCAAAGAAAAUGGAAAAGAACCCAUGUGUUCAAAAAUAUUAAUGGCAGCUCUUUUUGAGGUGGCAAAGAAUCAGAAAUUGAUAGGGUUCCCAUCAAUUAGGGGAAUUGCUGAACCAACUGUGGUAUAUUAUUGUGAUGGAAUACUAUUGUAUGUUGAGGGAGAUGAGUUCAGAGAAACCCAGGAAAAUAGAUUAACUGAUGCAAAGUGAAGUGAGCAGAACCAGAACAUUGUACAUUGGAUCAAUGAUCAACUGUAAAAGACAGCUGCUCUGAUCAAAACAAUGAUCCAAGACAAUUCCAAAGAACCCGUGUAAAAAAUAUUCUCCACAUCUGGAGAGAUUGAGAGAGAGAGAGAGAGAAGUGACGAACUCUGAAUGCAGAUUGAAACACCCUUUUUAACUACCUUAUUUUUCUUCGUGUGUGUGUUUUUUCUUUUGCAGCAAGGCUAAUAUGGAAAUGUUUUGCAUGACUUCACAUGUAUAAUGAAUAUCGUUAUUGCCUGCCUUCUCAAGAAGCUGGGGAAAGAUGGGAGGAAUGGAGAGUUGCCUUUGCGUAGCUGUCUCGAUUCCUGGAAUAUACUCUUUUCAUUUCCAUUGCCUAAAUUGUGGCAAGAUUCAGGCCAUCUGCAACUUCCUCCAGGAAGCAAUUCCUGAUUCCCCUAGUGGUUUGGGGCCCCUGAACCCCCUUCAAAUGAUCAGGUAUUUAUUUAUUUAGUUGUUCACAUUUUGUAGCUUUCCAGCAGAAACAGGCGUUUCUCCAAAGCAGAGAGUGAUUUCCAGUUUGUCUCUGUAUCCUUGGUACCUAACACAGGUUGGGCUUAAUGAUGUUUGUGGGGUUGGACUAGAUUGGAAUUGGAUAACUGUUGAACCACCCGAGUGCUGCACGAAUACCCAAGAAUUACUGCAAAAUCCAGAGGCCUCCAAUAUGCUGAGUAGAUCUUCCAUGUAGUGGACAUAGAUAAAAUUCACAGGUGAGGAGGAUGUAAAUCAAUGACCUGCACUGGGGAAGGGAGCAUCACAUGGAAGUAUCAAAGUUAAUACAUUUGGGUGUCUCAGACAAAGAUGAAAAGCAGAUAUCCCAUGAGAAGAUACCUUCCUCUAUUUCUUUGCAGAGGUGUGGGGACUAUAUGUGGAACACUGUAUAUAGCAUCAGACUUUUUUUGGAGAUAUUAUUUGGUUGUGAUGAAUCAUUUUUCACUUUUUUAUUCU
This is a long non-coding RNA of Sarcophilus harrisii (Tasmanian devil), 3279 nucleotides long. RefSeq lists it as uncharacterized. NCBI's taxonomy places the organism in Eukaryota, Metazoa, Chordata, Mammalia, Dasyuromorphia, Dasyuridae. The record is from RefSeq and is a predicted model, not a curated record. The transcript has 2 exons.